GCUGAGCGUGGUGGCACUCGCUUGUAGUCUCAGCUACUUGGGAGGCUGAGGCAGGAGAAUCACUUGAGCCUGGGAGGUCAAGGCUGCAGUGAGCCAUGAUGGCACCACUGCACUCUAGCCUAGGUGACAGAGUGAGGCCCUGUCUCAG
Molecule: non-coding RNA, 148 nt
Filed under: Homo sapiens (human)
Lineage: Eukaryota; Metazoa; Chordata; Mammalia; Primates; Hominidae
Source: Rfam by way of RNAcentral